This 76-nucleotide transfer RNA is filed under the name Chloroflexota bacterium. RNAcentral's name for it is "Chloroflexi bacterium tRNA-Arg". It matches the Rfam family "tRNA". From Rfam's summary of the family: Transfer RNA (tRNA) molecules are approximately 80 nucleotides in length. Their secondary structure includes four short double-helical elements and three loops (D, anti-codon, and T loops). RNAcentral also lists the same sequence under 2 other names. Lineage: Bacteria; Bacillati; Chloroflexota. The record is from RNAcentral.
GCCCCUGUAGCUCAGAGGAUAGAGCAACGGUUUCCUAAACCGUGUGCCACAGGUUCGAGUCCUGUCAGGGGCGCCA